GGGAAGCGUUUCCGGGGGCUGAGGCACAGGCUGAAUCUGUUGCGGCAGCAAAGGCUAGAACAGGCCUGCGCCGGCGGCGGAGAGGAUCCCUUGGACGGGGGAUGUGAGCGCUGAGCCCUUGGCAGAAGUCAAUGUGAUUUUAAUUUGAAGCAAAACUGAAAUGGGUUCUUCUUCCUCAUUCUAUUCAUAUUGCUUUUUGAUGGCCAUGGCAUAAGAAACUUUAUCCCAGGAAUACAGCUUUGCAUUAGUAGAGACGGGGUUUCACCGUGUUAGCCAGGAUGGUCUCC
Long non-coding RNA from Cercocebus atys (sooty mangabey), 287 nucleotides. RefSeq lists it as uncharacterized. The record is from RefSeq and is a predicted model, not a curated record. The transcript is spliced from 3 exons. NCBI's taxonomy places the organism in Eukaryota, Metazoa, Chordata, Mammalia, Primates, Cercopithecidae.